UGCCCCAUGGCUGAGUUGGUUACAGCGUCCGACUGUUAGGAUCUCGCCAAAAUCCCAGUCCAUCGGAAGGUCGAGAGUUCGAGCCUCUCUGGGGCAG
This is a non-coding RNA of Mucidula mucida, 97 nucleotides long. The record is from the annotation of a GenBank genome assembly. NCBI's taxonomy places the organism in Eukaryota, Fungi, Basidiomycota, Agaricomycetes, Agaricales, Physalacriaceae.